UGACUCGGCUUUUUGUAACACAGCUGAGGCUCUGACAAAAACACCAAACCAACAACAAAACAUCUGCAAAACGAAGCGGACAGAUUUGUGAUUGUCUCUCUUUUUUGGUUGUUAGACCACAAAUAAAAAACGCUGUAGUAAAGCGUCCUGUAGAGCUCGACCAUGGUGUGACUUCUGAUAAAAGCCGGUGCCUAUGUGGUGCGGAAAAUCUCUGCUGCUGUAAGUGGGGAUGAGCAAAAAGACCAGCCCGUCCUCACACCAUGUAGCCUGGCACAAGCUAAUAAGCAACGCAGUCAGAAGCAAUUAACGGCAGAGAUGAUGUCUAAUCCAGAUAUGGAUGACUGUGCAGAGUGUACCGCCCAAAGACACUACUGUUCAAAAAUGCAAUUCCUGAGGUUAAAGGUCACACAGGUUAAUAACUGGGUGCUAAGAUACACUAUUAAAGAGGGAAAAAAUAUUAAAUAGCUAAAUAAAUUGUUUUAAUCAUUUGUACUUUUAAGUUACAUGAGACUGCCUUUGAUGUUGUUUUCAAUGAGGAAAACCAACAUAUCCUAAACUGUAAGUUGUAAAGUGCGGAACCCUUAUGUAAAAAGUUAACCCAGACCAAGGUUAACACAAAUCAGACUUGGUUCUCCUUUAGCAACCCGGUUUUGCCCUGAGUGACUAAAUAUCUCUUUCUCUAACAAUUUCUCUUUCUUGGCUGUAGAGUGUGACGGUCUGUUCAUCAACCUCUAAUUUAGGGAGUGUUCAGAUCUGAAAUUUUACUACAGCUGUUAUAUUUAUCCUGAAGGAUUUCUUUAAAACUGUCUUGUUAGAACAACAUGACUCUUUUUACAUCUUGUGUAUAUGAGAAAUAAAGUUGGCUUACAUUGA
Molecule: long non-coding RNA, 873 nt
Organism: Trichomycterus rosablanca
Lineage: Eukaryota; Metazoa; Chordata; Actinopteri; Siluriformes; Trichomycteridae
Exons: 3
Source: RefSeq, a predicted model, not a curated record